RNAcentral lists this ribosomal RNA (468 nucleotides) under uncultured bacterium. RNAcentral describes it as "partial 16S ribosomal RNA". It matches the Rfam family "Bacterial small subunit ribosomal RNA", at positions 28 to 507 of the family's 1533-position model. The record is from RNAcentral.
GACGAACGCUGGCGGCGUGCUUAACACAUGCAAGUCGAACGGAAAGGCCCUGCUUUUGUGGGGUGCUCGAGUGGCGAACGGGUGAGUAACACGUGAGUAACCUGCCCUUGACUUUGGGAUAACUUCAGGAAACUGGGGCUAAUACCGGAUAGGAUCUCCUGCUGCAUGGUGGGGGUUGGAAAGUUUCGGCGGUUGGGGAUGGACUCGCGGCUUAUCAGCUUGUUGGUGGGGUAGUGGCUUACCAAGGCUUUGACGGGUAGCCGGCCUGUGUGGGUGACCGGCCACAUUGGGACUGAGAUACGGCCCAGACUCCUACGGGAGGCAGCAGUGGGGAAUAUUGCACAAUGGGCGGAAGCCUGAUGCAGCAACGCCGCGUGCGGGAUGACGGCCUUCGGGUUGUAAACCGCUUUCGCCUGUGACGAAGCGUGAGUGACGGUAAUGGGUAAAGAAGCACCGGCUAACUACGUG